Molecule: long non-coding RNA, 699 nt
Filed under: Chloebia gouldiae (Gouldian finch)
Lineage: Eukaryota; Metazoa; Chordata; Aves; Passeriformes; Passeridae
Description: Erythrura gouldiae (Gouldian finch) lncRNA (ENSEGOG00005013575.1)
Source: RNAcentral
CAGAUUAAUAAAUAUUCCUCAAGUAUCUCCCCAUUUGGCCACAAGGAACUGAGGGCAAUAUCCCUAGAAAUACUUUAAGAUUAAAGACGUUCUAAAGGAUUUGUGUUGGCGCCGCGACGCCGAACAUGGUUAAAUAUGAAAAUGGUUGUGACGUAGGUUGGAGGAAUAAGGAGGCGGAUGACACACUUUGGAAGGUAUAAAUACGGACCCCCGAAUCCGAAAAGUCAUCCGCUCCUCUCGACUUCUCCUCUCAACUGCUCUUCGUGAAGCACAGGCUCUCCAAAUCAACAAGGAUGAAUUCCUUCAAGGAUUGCUGUGACAGCGCAUCCUUCCCCCAGGGCAGCAGCGACAACUUCGGUGGCUUUGGCAGCUUCAACUUCCGGCCCAGACGCUCCUUCAGCUUCUACCGGGACCAGUGCCAAGAUGUGGCCCCAUCUGGCUUCAGGAACAUCUGCCAGCCCUCUGGGAACCUACGUGGCACCAUCCACGCCAGCCUCAAUGGGGAUGUGGUUGGGAAGAUCACGGGGAAGAUCGAGGGGCUCCCUGGGAUCCUGGGUUGUAUGGCUGUCACUCUCAAAGGGCUGAGGCACCUUUAGAGCACUUCAGUGGAGUAGAAAGAGACUUUUGGGUGUGAGGAAAGCACUUUUUAAGUUCAUCCGCAGCCACUUUGUGUUGCCACAGCAGUGGGAGUUUCUACAA